AUGAAGUCCGUCCUAGUCGACUUCCUCUUCGGUGUUGGAAUCAAGCCCACGUCGAUUGCCAGCUAUAACCACCAAGGCAACAACGACGACAUGAAUCUCUCAGCCACGCAGAUAUUUUCGUCCAAAGAGAUCUCCAAAAGCGGCAUGGUGCAUGACAUGGUCGUCAGCAACGACAUCUUUUACAACCCCGAGGAGCAUCCCGACGACGUCAUUGUGAUAAAGUACAUGUCGUAUGUCGGGGAUAGCAAGAGGGCCAUGGACGAGUACUCCUCCGAGAUCUUCAUGGGUGGCAAGAACACCACCGUGUUGCACAACACCCGUGAGGACUCGCUCCUGGUCGCACCCAUCAUCCUUGACCUAGUGCUCUUGGCUGAGCUCGACACAAGGAUCUAG
RNAcentral lists this ribosomal RNA (393 nucleotides) under Triticum aestivum (bread wheat). Its description in RNAcentral is "partial small subunit ribosomal RNA". The record is from RNAcentral. Lineage: Eukaryota; Viridiplantae; Streptophyta; Magnoliopsida; Poales; Poaceae.